AGUCGAGGGGUAUAGUUCUUCGGAGCUAGAGACCGGCGCACGGGUGCGUAACGCGUAUGCAAUCUACCUUUUACAGAGGGAUAGCCCAGAGAAAUUUGGAUUAAUACCUCAUAGUAUUGCAACAUGGCAUCAUUAUUAUAUUAAAGUCACAACGGUAAAAGAUGAGCAUGCGUCCCAUUAGCUAGUUGGUAAGGUAACGGCUUACCAAGGCUACGAUGGGUAGGGGUCCUGAGAGGGAGAUCCCCCACACUGGUACUGAGACACGGACCAGACUCCUACGGGAGGCAGCAGUGAGGAAUAUUGGACAAUGGGCGCAAGCCUGAUCCAGCCAUGCCGCGUGCAGGAUGACGGUCCUAUGGAUUGUAAACUGCUUUUAUACGAGAAGAAACACUCCAACGUGUUGGAGCUUGACGGUAUCGUAAGAAUAAGGAUCGGCUAACUCCGUGCCAGCAGCCGCGGUAAUACGGAGGAUCCAAGCGUUAUCCGGAAUCAUUGGGUUUAAAGGGUCCGUAGGCGGUUUAAUAAGUCAGUGGUGAAAGCCCAUCGCUCAACGGUGGAACGGCCAUUGAUACUGUUAAACUUGAAUUAUUAGGAAGUAACUAGAAUAUGUAGUGUAGCGGUGAAAUGCUUAGAGAUUACAUGGAAUACCAAUUGCGAAGGCAGGUUACUACUAAUGGAUUGACGCUGAUGGACGAAAGCGUGGGUAGCGAACAGGAUUAGAUACCCUGGUAGUCCACGCCGUAAACGAUGGAUACUAGCUGUUGGAAGCAAUUUCAGUGGCUAAGCGAAAGUGAUAAGUAUCCCACCUGGG
Molecule: ribosomal RNA, 811 nt
Filed under: Flavobacterium sp. 001xTSA12A_B02
Lineage: Bacteria; Pseudomonadati; Bacteroidota; Flavobacteriia; Flavobacteriales; Flavobacteriaceae
Description: bacterial SSU rRNA
Rfam family: Bacterial small subunit ribosomal RNA
Source: RNAcentral